This 25-nucleotide non-coding RNA is filed under the name Drosophila melanogaster (fruit fly). The record is from RNAcentral. Lineage: Eukaryota; Metazoa; Arthropoda; Insecta; Diptera; Drosophilidae.
UUCUUCGAUCAGAAUGGAUUUCAGC